UAUGCUGCUUUAAAAAAAAAAUCCUAUCUCAUAACUCUUGCUUUUACAUCUCCAUUUCAGACGAAAUGAUCUUAAAGGGUGAGUAGUAGUCAACUCUACCGUGUUUUAUAUACAAAGGGAGUAAGAAUGAAAGCUACACUUUCCGUUCAACGCAAAAAUACGAACAGCUGUUGAGGGCGCAGAAAGAGAAGCCGCCUCUAGCAUAACCGUAACAAUGGCUUUUUCCACAAAAUCUCGAACCUUUUAUUUUCCCCUACAUUUAACAUCUCAACGAGGGCAAUAAACAGCCCAGGAAGAAGACCACGACAAGGAACCCUUUCCUCUAUUUAAAAAAGGAAAGAAAAAGAAAUUAAAAAACAAACUUAAUUGGAAAAUGAUUUCAAAAGCCGUCUUUGGACUCCCGCGGCAUCUGAACUGCUGAUAAACUUUCCUCUUGAGCAGAAAAGCGGAAACAAAAAGCAAUGAUUUUGUGUGGCGGUUUUUUGGCGAAUUCCAUAUUUUGAUUUGUCAUUUGAGCUGGAGCUGACAUUAAGGAUUUUUUAUGGCCCUCGCUCAACUUAUUUUACAAGGAAGAUGCAUCACUUUCUGUUUUAUGCAACAAGUGGAACGCAAAAUGCCAGAAGGCAUCUGUAUGCAAAUUUCAUCAGUGAUGUAUAAUGGAUAGACGUAAUACGAUUGAUGAAGAUUACAAGAGCCUUGCAGAGAUGGUGAAUGGGGUUUAAUUCAGCGGUACACAGAGUGAUAUGGAAAUGGUGUGCAAAAUUAAGCAGUUGUUUGAUGCACCGGCUAUUUGCAGGGUGCAUACAAAUGGAACGUCAAUGUAUUUCUGCAAGACACUAGAUGAGAAAAUACCACAAUCAAUCAUAAUUACUCUGGCAAUUCAAACAAGAUUUUGAGCAAAAUGUGUAUUAGAGCCAGCAUUUUAUUUGAGUUGAUUUGAUUAUGUAAAUGCGUGUCUGAAUUACUGGGCAGGAGAUAGGCUCAUCCAAGCAUUAAGAAACUACGUGAGGGUAUAAAAAAAACAAAACUAAGACGACCCGCGCUCACGCACGCACGCACGCACGCGCACACACACAAAUACCGUGCGCACGCGCACACACGAACCGUGUGAAUGUCCGCUGCGUGCGAGAAACCUGCCGAACAAUUAGCAUUGAGGGAUUGCAGGACCAGGGAAGUGGAAAAGGAAGCAAAAGGAAUUGAAAUCCUCCAGCCCAGCCCCGUGCUCCCAAUACCAGGGGCACCGGGAGAUUGCAUCGUGCAUAUGCCAUAUUGAUGCCACCAUAUUUUGACAGUUUCCAUAAUGGAGGGCGGGCAGACAGUAAUUAGAAGCCCGGCACAUCCUCGCCGUUUGCGUGCCAGCAGCUUUACGAUUGAGUGGGACGAGGGCUAUGAGGUUAGUCUUUUAGAUUGGUGUCCUGCUUUGUGCAGAGGGAGGAAAAGAAGGUCUGCAGGAGAACAAGAGGGGUGGACGUGCGUGGUGGGGUGGGGUUCCCGUUGGAUUCUGGGGUGGGGGAUGGGGGUUGGAAGCAUUGAGACGGUCUGGGUUGUUUUCUAAGAAAAGACUGGACAUGAGAAUAUGGAAUUGUUGCCAUUUUCUUUUAGCGACGCAAGGGUUGGAAAUCUUGCGAGCUGCUUUCCUCGUAUACUUCGGAGGUCUGGAAAAGGAGUUAGGAACAACCCCGGGUGGGACGUUCGCUAGCAAGCGGGUGAGGAGGGUCAGAGGGCAACCCACUGCAUGCCCCAUUCUCUGCCCCUAGCAUCAGUAAUCGUGUUUUGCAGGAAGAAAACCGCAGACUAACAUCGUGUCGGCGACAACCUGCUUGGUGGGGGUCAGACAUGUUGUUGUCGCAGCGAUGUCGCUCACGGCGGAGGCAAGUCUUGCAGACGCGAGAAGGGAAAGGCAGGUGGAGGAGAUGGAGAAUUUACUUUCAACAGUGGGCAAGGUGCAGCCGUCGGUCUUUUAUUUCAGUCUGUCGUUUUUACAUGCCACAUCCACGGCGCUUCAUUUAUUUAGUUCAGGGUCGAGGGAUUAAGCUAAAUCUCAUUUUGUUUCGUUACUUAGACGGGACACAAAUAUUGCCAGUUGACCAAAAAAUAAAAAUCACACUCAAGCUAGCUUUAAAAAUAAGCGAAACAUAACGGUCGGUUGGCGUGAAGCACGUGAAGUAGAUAUGUAGGUGAAACGCCAAUACAGGCAGGUGUACGGGUCAGGGGAAGUAAUCCAAGAAUUUACCCGAAACGUUUCUGAAACAGAAAACCGACAAACACCGAGAGCAGACAUCGGGGAGUAACUCGAGGCGACUGGGAGUCACAAACCUUUUCCUUUACAACCUGCUAAUGUAACUAUCAGUCAUGGAGUCCCAAGGCUCUGUGGAAUGGCAGCACGUGAUGGCUACUUCCCCCUCCCUACCUCUGGUGGUCAAGCGUACUUACAGUAUUAGUACAGAUGGCAAACGAAUGCAUCCUUCUGAUCGCUGUAAUGAGCUCAGGGAAAGACAUUCUCGCUGUAGGGUGGGGAAAAGAAAGUGAAAAAUUGCGGGCCGUGGGGAUAUUUUUAUUUUAGACACGACGUCCAUGAUCUUUCGGCAUCGAUGAUUAUUGAUGAUGCCAGCUAACGACUAGGAAAGGGAAAUAUAAAAGAAAUGGUGUGUGAAAAAAAAUUUUUUAAAGUAUUCUUUUAUAGUUUUGCUGAAAUCGUUUCUCUUAUUCUUGUACUGUUCACUUACCUGUAUAUUUUAAAUGCAGCUGCUUUGAGGGUUCUGUUAAACAAAACAUUACAUCAGAUGCCUUUAUAAGACCCAAUCGCGGGAAAGGAUACAAAAUAGCGCACAGAAGGACAACCAUAGCUCAUUGGCUGACCUCGGCUGAACCCCGUGACGUCACAAUGCGAGAAAACAUGGACUUGAUGACCGGAAUGACAGACCAGCGCCUGCUGGUGGCUUGUUUUCUCUCCCUCAAUCUUUAAUUAGAACUGAAAGAAGGGGACACUUUGCCAGACUUCUUGCAAAAUAUUUCUAGCAUUGCACAGUUCUAAUUAUAUCAGAGCCCCAACUAUCAUCAGCCUGUAAAAUCUAUACUGGCGAUGAAACGACCAUAAAGUUUCAGUUCUACUCCCACAUCCACAAUUAAAAUCACUGUCAGGGCAGUUUAUUAUGGAAUCUUAUGGCAGACGGUUGGAACUUUUGUAUUACACAAAGAUUAUAAUUUCAGAAACGUCAGCUGGUUACCAUAGAAAUAAAUAACACAACAUAUUUGAUGAAAGUCUCUGACACUCAUUACCAUUAUCAUCAGCAGAUAUACUUUGGAGAAGUACGCAUGCUCAUUGUAGAGGGACAUGCGUGGUUGAGUGGAUAACUGUGCUCACGACACUGGGAUUGGUUGGGUCUUCCUCGGAAACGGUUCUUGCAGGUCCAAGACCAGCAGCAGCGCGAAAAGCACGUCCCCCAAACCCUCCUGCUGCUUGUUCUCAGCUUUGGUAUCCUGGCCGUUAGUAUUGUCUUGCGGAGGGCCAAGACGAAUGGUUAAAAUGUUGCUUGAAAUGGAAGGAUUUGGGAUGUAAGAUCUUCAGUCUUUGCGAUUCCGGAAUCCCACAGUCAAGAAGCUUUAGAAGGCUGCCUUCACCUUUGUUCUGUUGUGCCGCAAUCCCCUUCGGCUUCAUACGAAAGAAAUGGCGGCGAUCUGAAAAUCCUUCAUUUUAUUGUCCAUGUGCAGUGUAGGUCUCGGGUCCUUCAGGGAUUGACGAUGUACAGAGGAGGGUACAUCAGUGGAAGCGACGAGUACCUUGACGAAGUACUAGCACGUACUCGACCUCUCUCCUCUGCGGAGGAUCAAGUUGGCUGAUUGUUUAUCUGUUUCUGUUUUCUGGACUUACCCGUAACUAAUGGUGAAAAAGAGAGAGAUAUCGCCAAACGACAAGUCGGAAGCAGCGGCAGGAGGAUGUGGUGAUUUCACGGCGAUCAGGCAUCAGACAUGACGAAGGAACAAGAAAAUAUCGAAAGGGUGUGUGUGUGAGAAACGGCGGGUCUGAAAAUGGGGGAGGAAAGUGGGAAAAAAACCCAGAAAAUAAAGAAAGCUGUGGACAUCCCCUGAAGCAUCUGUGGGUCAGAGUUCAGCAGGCACGCCGUACAUCCUAGCAGGCAGACAGGCUAGUCCAGCCCUUCCAUCAGGGGAGGAAAUGCAUUUUGCUGAUGGCGGGGGCUUUGUUUUUGUUAAUGAGUGGAGGGUUCACAGUCGGGAGGGGGGUGGGGAGGAAGGGUGGGGAAUGGAUAGCAGUUGCUCCCAAACGAGGUAUUUAUCUUCCUUAUCAUGACCCGCCGAGCAAGAUGACACGAUGCUCCAUGAUUAAUAGCAGAUGCAGAAUUUCCAAUUUUCGCAGAAUACCUAAUGUAUUUUCAUCAGUCUUGCAUCUAAUAUUUGGACGAUAGGUGAUUAGCUGCUCAUUCCAAGGAGGGGUAAGAUUGAGGGCAGCGUGGGGGGUGGAAUGGGGGGUGGGGACAGAAGUGGAAAGAGAAAUUGAGUUGUGGGCGUAAUGCAUUGCGAGAUACGGAGCAUGUCUUGCCGGCCGUGGGUAUCACGUGGUGGUGGGUCCAAACCUCGCUGGCAACUGCAGACGCCAGCAGAGAAACCGGCAACGAACGUUUUUCUAAUUAUAGAUCAUCAGCAUCAUCUUCACGAGUCACUUGAUGAAGAUAUAACCGUUUGACGAACUAGGCAGGGAGAGGAGAAGUGGGGAUGGAGAGAUGAGAGAGAAAAUCAAGAUGGGGUGGUGGGAGGAAAAGCUACCAUCCAAUACCCUGUCACUAAACUCCUUUCGAACCAGGUGUUCAGUCCUGGUAAAGUCACGGGAAAAGUUUUCAGAAUUUCAACUUUCCAAUGGGGAAGGUUUUGCAUGGAAGCCCAGUGUGGGAUUUUUGUUUUCUCUUUUUCUUUGAGACAUUAAAAAAAGAGGAGAAAUCAACCCCCCCACCACCACCACCAUCCCUACCCUUCUCAAGCAGUCGACGGGUGGCACUACUGCCAAGAGAGUGCUAUUCUCGUUACGAAAGAACACGCGCAUCGGCCACCAGGUGGUCUUCGCUUACAUCAUUAAUCAAGACGACGGGUUAAGACAUGGGAAUGGAGGAUGAGGGAGGGUGGAGGUAGUCGAAGUGCGGUUUUUAGUCGGCAGAGCAUGCGCAUGCGCCUACAGGUGACAAAAGAAAAAGGUCUUAAUUUGCGUAUCGGAUUUCUCCCUACAAUUGCUAUUGUCUGAAUCGAAGUGAAGCAAACUUGAUGGAAGGGGGAAAAAAUCGGUCGGUCCGUUUUACGAAGAAGUUUACUUCCGUGUUUUCUUAAAUUAAAGAUAAGGGAAGAAAAGCGGGAAUUAAUCAAGAGCUGUUGCCUGAUCAGCUCACCGGUUACUGGAUUUCAAAAGACGACGUCUGGUUGCAGUACUUCAUGGCAGGGCUAAAAAUUUGAAAAAAAUAAAAAUAAAAAAAAAAUAAAAUAUGGGCGGCCUUUCUUACCAGACAUCCCACUGCCUUUAACAACCGCUUGAUGAGACUAAAACAGAUAUCAAAUCAUCCAACAUGGACAGAUUGUGGCGGCAUCUUUGAAGAGACGAAGGGGGGAAAAAAAAGAAAACAAAAAUUUACUGGGCCUAUGGUGUUGCUUUUGGGAUUGAAUUUCAGUAAUCGAUCCUCGGAUAAAACAUGGCCACCGGGCGCUUAGUGUAAACCCGAGUCGGCCAGCGAUUGAUUGAAACAGUAAGCAGUUCCCCCCUCGAAAAAAAAUUAUCGCAGUUGUCUGUCUUUUUUUGCACCGACAAGUAGGAGUGUACACAGUUUUCAUUAAGGUUUCUGUACCUAGCCGAAAUUUUAGUUUGCAUUUUUGGCAUUCGCUUGGUGGGUAUGGUGGUGGGCGUGGCUUGGCGCCUGCCGCACUUGCAGUCUUUUGUAAUCGCUGUUUGUACGGCGCUACGUUUGUAAACAGACUUUUCAUUCGCUUUGUUGCACGUUUCCGUGAUUGGUCUAUUCACGUUCGAGGGCUGACACUCGGCCAACGCUUAUCUGGAGAAUAGAUGCUAACAGAUUCUUGUAAUCAGCACGGCUUGUUGCCCUUGACUUGCUUCUGGAGGUGUGCAAGAUGAGGUUGGGGUCCUCCAUUCCGCUGGCCAUCCGGAGCUUGUUGGACGGGUGUAAUUUUUCAGAAGCAUCUUAUUGUGGAGAUGAAUGCUGUAUACCAUGAUAUUUUUUACAAUAAAAGUUUGUAUUGUUUUAAAGGGACCUUGCUGCUUUUUAAAUGAUUUCAAAUGAGAAAUAAUCUAAGCAUCAUUUUUUUGAUUAAGUCCUGACGUAUUAGUGCAUUGUUGUUUGUUUUUGUUUGUUUGUUUGUUUUUUCUUGAGGGGGGUGUAAGCUGUGUAGGUGUAAGCACCAUUAUGUUGGGUAGGUGGCUGGAAGGCUUUAGUCUGCAGUUCCAGCAGUCGCCUGAGUUCGUGGUCUCUUUUCGGUGAGGUUAGAGAGUUUAGUUCAGCCUUUCACGUUACCCUAGAUACGGUGAACCACUCACAGUUCACUGCAGCUACGGUCACUAAAGACUAUACGACUGUUUUAUCUCCCUCCCCCCUCAAUAUUUUCUAACCGCAUAAUUUCCACUGUAGGAUAACCGUGGUUAGAGCUUUUGUUAGGCGAGUGGCAGCUGACUGCCAGGACCUAUUGGGCGCCAUUAUCUGUGUGUGCGCACCUUCGUGGAGCUCGACCUCUCGUGCUACGCACCUCGUUUGCACGGCGUUAUUACUCGAGUUUAUACGCGUUGUCAUGCGCGGUCCCUCCGCUCGGAUCAUAGUUCCGAUAAUUGGGGGGACUGGCAAGAGGGAACCGGCGUUUAACGAGGCUGCGACGUAAUCAAAGGACGGUCUGGAUAAUGGCGCAGCGAAAAUGAGCACGCGCAAACUGGGGACGUUAGAGAUGCCAACUGCCCAGACAUGUGCCUGUUAGGUCCUGAUAAUGUGGAGUGCCACCACUGCAUCUUUUGUGCGCUGACAUUUGAGACCACAGCCGCACUAUAGACACAUAGGUAUUAAACAGAAAAUAAUAUGCUGCGAGCAGGUAUGCGGGACAUAUAUCUUUUAUUCGCCCCUUAAUUGUGGAAUGGUUGGACGGUCUGAUCGGAACUUAGUUCGAGAGUGUGUUUGUCAAUAGUAGAUGAGCUUAAUUUGGACUUUACUUCUGACACACACACCUCUCUUUCUCUCUGUGUGUGGCGGAGGAGGGGGAGAGGGAGACUUUCUGGUAGCAGGGAUGAACGGGGCUGAUUCUAAAACAUCAGAGCACCUGCGUUGUAAACGCCUGAAGUGCUAGCUGGGAUCCUUGCUGCACCCUCUCUGGAUGGUGAUUUGGCGAGACAGGUAGACAGCGAGAUGCAGGCCUUUCCACACCAGUUUUACAACCCUGAUAUCAGCACGAAUCUUUUUCCCAGGUAGAAGGGAAGUUAUGGAGCAUAGGGGGAAGAAGAUUUAACUGCUACUUUCUGUCCUUAUCUGUUUUCGCGGCUUUUCAAGGAGGCUGUUUUUGGGGUGGAUGGGUGGAUAAGGGAUAAGGUGCUUGUUUAUUUAUCAGGCUUGCGUGUCGUCGGGUUUCUUUCAGAAACUGACGUACUUGACAGGUUCCAUUUUAUUCACAUUGCCUGGCACAAGUAGUUUUCUUACAGCCAUCAGGCUCAAACGGCCUUAUCGUAUAACUUUCACAGACCGUCCGCGCAUGCGUGAAUAAUAUGCGCGCGCCGCCCGUCUUGCUUGACAUGGAACAACAUCGGACCCGGUCUGCACGAGCCAUCAGCCUCUCCCUCCCAUCUCACUCCCCCGGACCCCUCCAUGCACCACCCAUGCUGACUAAUACUCGCACGAAAAAGUGUAAGUAAAAAAAAAAAAAAAGUCGCUGGAGGCUGGGAUUUGAACGCUGUAGUCUUCUGUUCCCGUACUGCAAACUGACAGGCGGCCCGCUAAGCGCAUGCGAUCUAGGGAUGGAGGUGAGAAGGGAGGAAGGUGAGAGAGGUUCUGAAAGAACGAAGCCUCGGCUGUCAAUUGAUCCACUUGCCGUCACAUUACAUAUCGGAUGAAUUGGUUAACCACGGGAUAAGAACUCAACUCCGCCUUUUAGGUCUCUCUCUCUUGCAGCUCGCAUAACAAGGGUGGACUCUGCGGCAGGUUCCAUCAGCCGCUUGCCUGAUGACAUUUACGCCGGAAGUGGGUGAUCGAUGCGUCACUUCCGUUGCCAGUCACCUGGAGACUGCAUCUGUAAGCACGUCGACCUUUGACCUUCCUGUAAAUCACCUUAACCGAAGAUAAUGUCUAGGCGCCUUCUGGCCUUGACACUCAAGAGGAUGCUCACCACGAAGGUCACACAUUGCAUCAUGGGUAUUUCUGAAUGAUGCGGCUAGCCUCCGAUGCCAGCAUCGGUGGAGGAUGGCGAGAAAUAAAACAGUGAACGCCAAGGGAAUGCCGACAUCGUCAGCAAACAUGGAGAGAAGUGACUGUUAGUGCUUGCUGUGAGAAAAACUCAACUCAGUAGAUGUUUGUCUGUUAGUGUAAGCUGUUACUGGACUCAUGCUCAUGAAGAUGGUUACCACUGUGGUAAUUAUAAUCUGUCGUUGUGUCCGGUUUAGUAUUCAGAGCGAAAAUGUAAAUGUCUCGUGAAGGCUUCAUCUAAAGAGAUAGAGUACUGCGUCUACCAUUUACAGUUAUUUUACGUUUCGUAGCUUAUAGUCCGCGGUAUGAUAAUCCUUGGGAUAAAACUAAUUAAAUCUUGAAUCAAAAUUUAAGAUUUAUAAAUUCAUUGAAAACUCUCGGUGCAUUGGCAGGUCAGUUUGUGCUAUCUGGAAGUAGCAACGUGUAAGGGAAGUAAUGCUCAAGGAACUGAUCCGUCGUCUUAAGUGUAAUCUGCCUGAUUAGGAAACGUGGCAUCAAAAGCUUAUUUGGAUUAGUUGUGGGUAAGUUGACAAAGCAAGGAGUUAGAUAAAAUAGCAACCGGGUUGCUAUAGUGUGUCUGUUCUAAAAACCUAUUCAACGGAAUAAAAAAGUAAGAAUUAAAAAAAAAACGUUUUAGUAAGGUGAAGAGAAGGUUACGUCAGAUGCUUUAGGUUUUUUUAUUUAAAACAUUUAGGGCAUUAUUUUUUUUUUUUUUUUUGCCUUUUGCAAAGCUAUUUAUAAUUGUCUUAGUCAUUUCUAAAUGGAAGGUACAGGAAUAGAUUCUGUUCGAACUUCUUUAUCUUAGCAGCAUAGUGCGCUUGAUCACUGAAUCAUAACAUGAGUGCUGUAGCGUAUCAUAAUCACCGUAGUGCCACCUGAUUCCGUAGUGCAACAUUCCGUUGUGUCGCUUGAUCACCGCAGUGCAGCCUGACUCCGUAGUGCAACAUUCCGCUGUGUAGCCUGAUCACCAUGGCGCAGCUUCAUCGCCGUAGUGCAGCCUGAUUACCGUAGUGCAGUAGGAUUCCGUAGUGCAGCAUUAUUAUCCACGUAGUGCGGUCUGAUCACUGUUGCGCAGCGUGACCAGAGUAGUGUAGAUAACGCGGCCUCACUAGGUAUCGGCCCACAGACAGGAAGCCUGUUCCGUAAGCUUUGUCUAGACAGCCAGUGCCCCGGCUGCUGCUGCACCCAGCAAUUACCCUGCGCCAUAUUACAGAGAUGGGAGGAACAUUUAAACCAGCGGCGAUCUCGCGGAACUUUUUAAUUCAGCCACAUUUGUGACGGCCUCGUGCAGUCCCAGCGCCACAACGCACGCAUGCGCACUGCUGCACUGUGACCCUCCGACAAACUCGCGUCGUUAAAUAACCCUACGCCCAUCCUAAACCCCUAAAACCCUAACCCAGCCCGCCUCACCGUGUACUUAUUCUGCAGCUGUUGAACUUUUAUAACCACUUGCAUGUAAACUUCUCGGCCUUUAUAUACCCAAUGCCUACUGUGAUCAUUAUUUUUAUCAUUCUGAAUAUUAUUCAUUCCCCUCUCUAGUCAAUGGCAGAAUCAAAUAUAAACUAGAAAGCUUUAGCUAUACAAACACUUUUUUGCCUCCUUGUUUUAUAUUAGACUCAGGUCAUAUUCGUACUGUGUAUUAUUACACAUCGUUAAACGUACAGUGGUGCUUCAUUCUACUCUUUUUGUCAAUAUAUACAUAUAAUACUCACAUGCCGCUUUGAUAGUACGCAUAUCUUGAAUAAUAGCAAGUCGAUCUUUGUUAUGUAGCAAUAUGUGAUGUAAUCUCUUCUUCUCGAAAAUGACAGAUCUGCUAUUGUUUGUGUGUUUUUGUGUGUAUUUACUUCUCAGAACUAUUGCACAGAAUGCUUUCAGAUAUGUUACGGCGUGUUAGCUGAAAAAUUGUGAUUGUUGGAAGUUCUGUUUAGGUUCUGUGAUACGUUUGAUCUCUCGAUUUAAAUAAUUAUGGGGGUUUAUUUUUGUCCGUCUUGAAAUGUUAAUACGUUUUUAAGAUGAAUUUUUUGUUUAUAAUUGUUCGAAUUUUUAAGAAAAUUUUUUAAUUUUGCCUUUUUUACAUGACUGUUUGAAUUUGUUUUUAAUUUAAUUAGUUUUAAUUUAAUCUUUCAACUUAAGAGAUACUUUUUUUAAAACUGAAAGAUUUUUUACAUGUGUGUGGCCGGAAUGUGAAAAUCGACGUUUAAAUUUCAACUAGCUAUUAUACUGAAGCUUGCUGUGUACUUUAAAAUUAAUUUAUUUGCUUUAAGGUAUUUGCAUUAUUAAAAUGAAUCUGAAGUAAGAAAAUGCCAGUAUAUCUUAAUAACUUGCUAUCUUUGUGUACUUAUUAAUCUGCUUGGCUUUAUAACCAGGAAACUCGAAGCCCCCAAUGCCUCUGGGAUUUUAUUUGCUUUUUUAGGGUUUUUGGGGGAGGUUUUUUUGGGGGGUCCCUUGUGCGCCUGCGCUGAAUUAUCUCUCCCAUUCUCUAAUUAUUCAGGCAUAGACAUGCUGAUAUUGUUGCUGGGCCUCUUUUGUCCAUAACUCUAGACGAUACCGUGCUUUCUAUUUGCCAUCUGCCAGCUCUUCUGAUCUUGUGAAAACCAGACGAGAUAGCGUUUGGGGCUGUGAGAAAGUGUUGCAAGUAAUGUGUCACUUUACUACAAAGUCUGUUCUGUCAUUCUGAUAUCCGUCAUUGUGCGGGAUCCACUGAAUCACGUUAAGACGCCAAGAGAACAAAGAUUUUCUUAGGAUCUUCAUGGCCUAUCGUUGUUGUGUGCAUGUAUGCAUGUAGGGGAGAAUGGAAGCUAAUCCCACCACUGGUAGCCACGAAUACUUCAACCGGCUAAAAGUAGCAGCCUUUGUUUCAGUAAAUUCUGCCACUUUUACAACAUUUAUUGUUGUUGUCUUACAUAUUUUCUUGCAUUCCACCUUACUUCUUGCAAAUUGCUACUCUUGUUUCUGAAUCCAAGGAUCCUUGUGGAUGUAGAGCCUUACGCUAUUGCCAAAACAUUUAUAGAGAUCCGUGAAGAUGUCGACUUUAGCUGAUCAGAUUUAUGCAUUUCAAAUUGUCCUGGAUCUGAGACGAUGGACGGAAUUGGUUCAUUGAUGUUUGUAAGCUUCCCUAACCCUACACACUAGCAAGGCUUGUGUUUCCGUUGCCUGUCGCAUUUCUAGAAUGUGACAAACUUUUCUGCGGUUGUGUGCUUUUUGAAGAACUUUUCCAUUGAUGGUAAUUUCUGCCUUCAGAAAGCAGAUGGUGUGGCGGUUUGUAAGUGCACGCUUGUGUGCGAUGUACAUGUACACGUGGUAUAACGUCAACGUAUUUUCAACAUAAUACUUCAUCUGUUCUUUACUUAAAACGAACGAAAAAUCUAAAUAAAAUAACAUUUAUUUUAAAUUAUAUCAUUGUCUCCUUGUAUGAAAUCAGUAUGCACAAACUACAUUAAACUCUUUUGUAUCUUUACCUGUCAAGGAUAAUGAAUGUCGAGACAGGGAUUUAAAAAAUAUUUUGUUUAAUAUAGGUUUUUGUUUCUGAGCUUGUAUCAAAUAUUCUAUUGGUGUCUCAGGAAGUUUCUUUUCUUAUAACAUAGACACUAAAGGCAUUUCCCAGCAACCAAUUCUCACAGGAAGCUAAAUAGCAAUAACAAAUCGUUCUCAUCCACCAAGAUCUGAUCUCUCAAACUAUCAGAAUCUCUCUAUUAUUCACUUACUAACGCAUGAACACGUUUGAAAAUAUAUGAAUAUAUUAAUUGCUCGUAAAACUGAUCGGCAAGAGAGAGAGAGAGUGCUGAUGGAGAUAUAUACAGUCUUCAUGAGUUCUCGAGUUCCUUGUCCGCCUGAUAUCAGUUUUAAAAGAAAAGAAAAAAAAAAAACCACGCCUCACAAUAGCCGUUUGUAAUCUCAGACUUGUGUAAGCCAGUUUCUCUUUGUCUCCGUAUCGUUGCCUUACUCGUCUGUUACAUUUCGCACUGCGAACGAAAUGUGAUGAUGCAACAGAAGCUGGGGUUUGUUUGUUUGUUUUGUUGAGGGGCUUUCUUUCGGUCUGUGAGGUUGUGCCUCUCUGCUUGUGAUGUGACCUCUGGUGAACGAGAGGCAUGUUGAGUUGUGGUUUUUAUGUCAGCUGCUUUUGCUAUUGCCAAUAAAUAUAACAACAACAAACAAAA
Molecule: long non-coding RNA, 12601 nt
Organism: Pomacea canaliculata
Lineage: Eukaryota; Metazoa; Mollusca; Gastropoda; Architaenioglossa; Ampullariidae
Exons: 3
Source: RefSeq, a predicted model, not a curated record